RNAcentral lists this ribosomal RNA (253 nucleotides) under uncultured bacterium. RNAcentral's name for it is "partial 16S ribosomal RNA". It matches the Rfam family "Bacterial small subunit ribosomal RNA", at positions 524 to 776 of the family's 1533-position model. The record is from RNAcentral.
UACGUAGGCAGCAAGCGUUGUUCGGAGUUACUGGGCGUAAAGAGUGCGUAGGCGGUCCUAUAAGUUCCGUGUGAAAUCUCCCGGCUCAACUGGGAGGGUGCGCGGAAGACUAUAGGGCUUGAGUGUGGGAGAGGUAAGCGGAAUUCCUGGUGUAGCGGUGAAAUGCGUAGAUAUCAGGAGGAACACCUGUGGUGUAGACAGCUUACUGGACCAUAACUGACGCUGAGGCACGAAAGCGUGGGUAGCAAACAGG